AGAACGAACGCUGGCGGCAGGCUUAACACAUGCAAGUCGAGCGGGUAGCAAUACCAGCGGCGAACGGGUGAGUAACACGUGGGCAACCUGCCCCUCACACUGGGAUAACCUCGGGAAACCGGGGCUAAUACCGGAUACGACCUCGAGCGGCAUCUCUUGAGGUGGAAAGCUCCGACGGUGAGGGAUGGGCCCGCGGCCUAUCAGCUUGUUGGUGGGGUAAUGGCCUACCAAGGCGACGACGGGUAG
This 246-nucleotide ribosomal RNA is filed under the name uncultured bacterium. RNAcentral's name for it is "partial small subunit ribosomal RNA". It matches the Rfam family "Bacterial small subunit ribosomal RNA", at positions 26 to 286 of the family's 1533-position model. The record is from RNAcentral.